Molecule: ribosomal RNA, 345 nt
Filed under: Triticum aestivum (bread wheat)
Lineage: Eukaryota; Viridiplantae; Streptophyta; Magnoliopsida; Poales; Poaceae
Description: partial small subunit ribosomal RNA
Source: RNAcentral
AUGUUCAGGAUGUACAAGCCUUGUUUUGAUAGAUUGCAUCAUACACUUGUACACACAUAUGGCUUGAAAGGAACAAGAAACAUGAGUUCAGAAGGAGCAUUGGGUAUGUUUCUUUGGACGGUUGGGGGCCCUCAAUUCGUAAGCCAAGUGGAGAAUCGUUUCAAGAGGUCAACUGAAGUUAUCCAUCGCAAAUUCAAUGAAGUAUUGAAAUGCUUGAACGACAUGGCUAUGGACAUCAUUCGACCAAGUGAUCCAGAGUUCAGAGUUGUACAUGAUAGGCUUGGGGAUGCGAAAUUUCCUCACUUUGAUGGUUGCAUGGGUGCAAUCGAUGGUUCGCAUAUCUAA